Molecule: long non-coding RNA, 283 nt
Organism: Carassius auratus (goldfish)
Lineage: Eukaryota; Metazoa; Chordata; Actinopteri; Cypriniformes; Cyprinidae
Exons: 3
Source: RefSeq, a predicted model, not a curated record
CGGAAGUGACGAUUUCCAACGCAUUUGAUGACGGUGUGGAGGGGAGCAAGAGGUAUCAGUCAGGUUUGUGCAGAAUUUGAGACAUCCAGAAUUACCAUAGGCCCAUUAGAAUCAACAAUCUUUGCCAAACUUGAUUCGGACUGCAAAAUUUACGAAGAUGUUUUCAUACUGAAGAAGAGACCUUGGACAAAUACUGAAACCCUCUUGGUGCCCACUACACAGGCAGGGGUGUCCAGACCUGCUCUAGGAAAGCCAGUGUUCUGUGGGGUUCAGCUCUAACACA